This 963-nucleotide ribosomal RNA is filed under the name Triticum aestivum (bread wheat). RNAcentral describes it as "partial small subunit ribosomal RNA". Lineage: Eukaryota; Viridiplantae; Streptophyta; Magnoliopsida; Poales; Poaceae. The record is from RNAcentral.
AUGAGUAUGCCUCUAAUAACUUUGUUCCAUUUUGUUGUUGCCCUCCGUCUUUACAAUCUUCCACUGGCCUAUUCGCUGCAAGAUUGUACUAGUACCAUAUAUGAAGCUGCACGCACGUCAAACACGCCAGGUGAGACACUCGUAUCUUGUGCCGCCGUUGCCGUUGUUCUUGGACGACGGAGGAGGCUUCUUGCCGCCGGUGCCGAGGAAGACGUCUGUGAGGACAGUCUUGGACCGCAGCGAGGCCUUGAGGAUCUCCAGGCCCUCCUUGUACCCGAGCUCCACGGUCCUCUCCUGGAGCGCGCCGAGGCCCCCGACGGCGGCGACGGCGCCGAGCCGCGCGAUGCUGGAGAUGGCCGACAUGGGCGCGACGGCCAGGUCGUCCGUCACCGUGUACGUCACGGCCCCCUGCACGAACCCCGUCGUCGCUGCGUUUGCGCUCUCCUCCGGCUUGGCCGGCGGCGGCGGCACGUACUGGGACACGGUCGCCAUCUCGUUCCCGCAGGCCGGGCACCGGGCGCCCCUGGCGUCGGACACGUACCCGCGGCAGCCUUGGUAGUUGAAGUGGUUGAUGGCGCCGCAGGUGAAGAAGCUCCUCGGGGCCGGGGCCGGCGGCGCGGGCAGGCGGAGGAGCGGGCUGGCCUGCGUGGCGGGGCGGAUGAGCGCGUCCUUGGCGAAGCCGGGCCGCAGGUAGCUGCCCUCGAGCCGCUCCACGCUGGCGUAGAGGUUGCCGACGCUACCCACCAUGGACAUGGACUCCUUCCCCAGCAGCCUCACGGCCGUGCCGGCCGGCAGGGUGAGGAGGGAGAAGAGGAAGUCGACGGCGUCCUUGCCGGCCUCCGCGAACACCACGCGCGGCCGCGGCGGCCUCGUGUCCACCAGGAGCUUCACGGUGAUCGGCGGGGCACCGCCGGUGUCCGCCAUCUUGGAGCGCCUCGAUGCAACAACUUCCACUCUCCCUAG